AUCUGUUACCCAGGCACAGCCAUACCUGCUUGCCUGUGUGAAAGUGGUUCAGCUGUCGGCUCUGGAUGAGGCUAACAGAUCACAUCUAUCUCCCGGGCAUCUACUGAGCUCACAGGGCUCCAAGGAUCAAGCCCCGGACAAGAAUACAAAAGCAGGUGGCAUAUGGAGAAAACAUUUUUUCUGCGAUGAAAGAGAUUGCUAGGAACAAAAUAUGCUGCACUGGCUGAGGAUGGACACCAAGGUGCACUAAAAGAAAACUAAUUUGAAAUGCCAGACCAUCCAAGUUUAUAUGAAGUUCUACCUCUCAAAAGUGAUUUAAGGAUGAGGUCAAGCCAGCCUGCCACACAUUUCCUGGCAGGUGGUCAAGCAUGGAAAGAGAAGUCUUAGCAGAGUUAAGGUGAGUUAAAGUCUCUUGUCUGUGAUAUAGACAUUGUUGUGUGGCAUUGUUGCCAUUUUUGAGUUUUCCGCGAUGCUAAGCUUUUCUGAUA
Podarcis raffonei (Aeolian wall lizard) is the source of this 488-nucleotide long non-coding RNA. RefSeq lists it as uncharacterized. The record is from RefSeq and is a predicted model, not a curated record. The transcript has 3 exons. NCBI's taxonomy places the organism in Eukaryota, Metazoa, Chordata, Lepidosauria, Squamata, Lacertidae.